Molecule: ribosomal RNA, 403 nt
Filed under: uncultured bacterium
Lineage: Bacteria
Description: partial 16S ribosomal RNA
Rfam family: Bacterial small subunit ribosomal RNA
Source: RNAcentral
GACGAACGCUGGCGGCGUGCCUAAUACAUGCAAGUCGAACGCAGUGGGGACGGGUGAGUAACACGUGGGUAACCUCCCAUCAGAGGGGAUAACACUUGGAAACAGGUGCUAAACCGAUCCUGAUGGAUGUACCCGCGGUGCAUUAGCUAGUUGGUGAGGAAACGGCUCACCAAGGAAACGAUGCAUAGCGGACCGGAGAGGGUGUUCGGACAAACUGGGACUGGGACACGGCCCAGACUCCUACGGGAGGCAGAGGUAGGGAAUCUUCGGAAAUGGACGAAAGUCUGACCGGGCAACGCGGCGUGAGUGAAGAGGGUUUUCGGAUCGUAAAACUCGUUUGUUAGAGAAGCGGUAUCUAACCAGAAAGCCACGGCUAACUACGUGCCAGCAGCCGCGGUAAUAC